This 403-nucleotide ribosomal RNA is filed under the name Verrucomicrobiota bacterium. RNAcentral's name for it is "Verrucomicrobia bacterium partial 16S ribosomal RNA". It matches the Rfam family "Bacterial small subunit ribosomal RNA", at positions 355 to 776 of the family's 1533-position model. Lineage: Bacteria; Pseudomonadati; Verrucomicrobiota. The record is from RNAcentral.
UGGGGAAUAUUGCACAAUGGGCGCAAGCCUGAUGCAGAAACGCCGCGUGAACGAUGAAGGUCUUCGGAUCGUAAAGUUCUGUUGCAGGGGAAGAUAAUGACGGUACCCUGUGAGGAAGCCCCGGCUAACUACGUGCCAGCAGCCGCGGUAAUACGCAGGGGGCUAGCGUUAUCCGGAUUUACUGGGCGUAAAGGGUGCGUAGGUGGUCUUUCAAGUCGGUGGUUAAAGGCUACGGCUCAACCGUAGUUAGCCUCCGAAACUGGAAGACUUGAGUGCAGGAGAGGUAAGUGGAAUUCCCAGUGUAGCGAUGAAAUGCGUAGAUAUUGGGAGGAACACCAGUAGCGAAGGCGGCUUUCUGGACUGCAACUGACACUGGGGCACGAAAGGGUGGGUAGCAAACAGA